GUGGGUAUAGCUCAGUGGUAGGGCGCAUGCCUAGCACAAUGAGGUCCUGGGUUUUAUCCCCAGUACCUCCA
This 71-nucleotide transfer RNA is filed under the name Camelus bactrianus (Bactrian camel). It matches the Rfam family "tRNA". Rfam says of the family: Transfer RNA (tRNA) molecules are approximately 80 nucleotides in length. Their secondary structure includes four short double-helical elements and three loops (D, anti-codon, and T loops). Further hydrogen bonds mediate the characteristic L-shaped molecular structure. tRNAs have two regions of fundamental functional importance: the anti-codon, which is responsible for specific mRNA codon recognition, and the 3' end, to which the tRNAs corresponding amino acid is attached (by aminoacyl-tRNA synthetases). tRNAs cope with the degeneracy of the genetic code in two manners: having more than one tRNA (with a specific anti-codon) for a particular amino acid; and 'wobble' base-pairing, i.e. permitting non-standard base-pairing at the 3rd anti-codon position. RNAcentral also lists the same sequence under 1 other name. Lineage: Eukaryota; Metazoa; Chordata; Mammalia; Artiodactyla; Camelidae. The record is from Rfam by way of RNAcentral.